AAAGGGCAGUCAAACAAAAUCCCAUCCUUAAGACUCGGUAAUUCAUGGUUCAAAAAAAAUGAAAUUAAAAAACCUAGGAGUUCAGGCUCUCUUGGGCUUCUUUGAGCCACCUUCUUUCUUAUCAGCCCCUGCAACCUUUUUCUUGUCCUUUCUUUCCCUCUUCUUUAAAGAAGUCAUGUGAGCCUUGAGAAUAGUUGCAUAUGAAGCCUGAAAGCGCUGGUGAUCCUUUGGUCCAACUGAAGUAGAGAUUGUCUUCUUGCCAUUGGUUGCACGGAUUA
Molecule: unclassified non-coding RNA, 278 nt
Filed under: Hevea brasiliensis (rubber tree)
Lineage: Eukaryota; Viridiplantae; Streptophyta; Magnoliopsida; Malpighiales; Euphorbiaceae
Source: RNAcentral